RNAcentral lists this long non-coding RNA (4275 nucleotides) under Ananas comosus (pineapple). RNAcentral's name for it is "long non-coding RNA (ACOM_LNC003270)". The record is from RNAcentral. Lineage: Eukaryota; Viridiplantae; Streptophyta; Magnoliopsida; Poales; Bromeliaceae.
CGACACGACGGUUUAGAUUUGGUACUUUUGGACUACUUGUUCGGUUGACGCAUAUAACUAUAGUAGCAGUGGUCACUUGUAUAUCUUCAGUUCUUUCGUUACAUUGUCUUACUACUAUAGUCUUGUUACAUGUAUACAUUCAGUUGUUCAUUACAGUAGCGGUAGUUGUACUUUCUUUCAUAUAUAUGUCUCUUUCAUUCAUUGUUAUUGCUACUGUAUUUUCUACUGACCCGUACUGUUGUUUAGCUCUUCCUGAUCCGGUGAGUACUCCUCGCCUUCAUCGGCUUGCGGUACCCACUGGGAGGGGAGACAUGUUUACAUGUUCUCACCUCCCCCACUAUUUUUCAGGUAUUGCAGGCGAUGAGUGUUGGGACGAGACGUGAGGUACGUUCGUAGCGGUCGAUAGAGCUUCCGACCCAGGUUAUCGAUUUAGUUUUUAUCCUUACUAUUCUGUUGUUAUAGCUUAGUUAGUUUAUAUGGUUCAGUUAGAUGAUCAUACUUGAUGUUUGAAUGUUGUGAGCUGGUUGAAUUUGUGGAAUUUUGGAUUUGGUUUAUGGAUCUUCAGUUUUGGAAUGUUUGUAUACUUUGUGGUUCUCGGAUUUGUAUUUAUGGAUUUACGCAUCGUGGUUUUCUACCCCUCGAGGUAGUCGGUUUUCAAAAUAGAGUUUCCGUGUCGGAAAUAAUUUUCAAAAAAUUUUCAAAUGAUUUUUCAUGAUGAAUGAAUUAGAGUUCAAAAAUAAAAGCUUCUGUGUGGGGAGCACUUUUAAAUAGGAUGGUUGUUGUAUUGUGCAUUGCAUCAUCCAGCGCCUAAGGAGUGCUUAGAGGCAUGCAUCAUUCUAAGGAUUGUUAGCUGUAUAGAAAUGUAUAUCAUGAAUUGGUUGCUGAUUGGUAAAUGUAGGUUGUGGUUGUGAUCCUGUUGUAUCCGUUGGUACGCCGUGCAGAUACAAAGGAGACUCUGCCCGAAUGGACAGAGGAACUUUGUAUUUGUGGCGGGUCUGUACGUCACGUGGGCCAGGUUUUUUUUAAAAAAAAAAUUUUUGGUACAUCUUCCGCGACUCUGAGUUUUAAAAAUGGUAAUGGCUUUUAAAUCGGCCCCGGGGCGUGACACUCACCUUAUUUCUGUCGGGGAGACUCCGUUCUGCUGUUUUGGCGGUGUCGACCCCGUCGAGCCUGUUUGGCUGCUGUUUUGAGUUUGCGCACGCUUAUCCGGCGAUCCGAGGCUGUUCCGAUGCCUCCGGAGGUGAGCACGGUGACCGCUGGUCAGUGCUGAUCACAAUGCUCACCUUCCCUUGGAUCAGAAGUGUCCGGUUAGUUCUGUUCGGAGCGAUCUUCCCUGACUGCGCGCUAUUCGCUGAACCUUCGGGUUGCUCCCGCGCUUCCCACAGCGAGCCGCUGUGCUCCGGAUCGUGAGCACGGACUCCGGUACGUCGAGACCUGUCAGUACGUGUCUCUGCGGACUUCGAAAGUCCUCGGUUUGCGUGAACGAGCCGCUUGAUCGCUCAAAUUACAUAAAAUGAUGAGAUUUUAUGUAAUUAGAGGGUCUUUUAUGCAUUUGUGCUUUGCGUGGCUACUGUGGGCAGUGUGUGGGAGUUUGUAAUGACCGCUGGACUGAUUGUCCAUGGUCCGUUAGCUUUCGCGGAAAUCGGUAGGUCGAUUUCGGUGCGUUUUUCGGCGAAAUUCGCCGAAAGAACGCGGUUUCGGUUCGGAUUCUUUCCGACGGUGUUUGGUUGCUUCGUGUUUUGUCGCUGAGCCUUGUUGGCUGGUCACCAUCAUCAUUUUGUGGGUUCGAUGAUGAUGGGUGAGCGACGGUGGGUUCCGGUGUCGAAAUAGACACUUCCGGAAACCCGGAUUCGUACGAUUAUCCGGCGAUGAUCGUAUGGUUGUGUUACCUCGUGUUCACUGCCAAGGCAUCCAAAUUGGAGUGCUUUGGGGCAGCGGGUGACUCGUGGCACGAGUCGGUGAGUUCGGGACACUUAGUGGGUCCCGACGACGUCCCGGUGUGGUUUUCGGGACUUCCGGUGAGUUACGGUAAUCGGUUUUGGGAAACCGAUUACGGGGAUCCUGUGUGGGGGUUUGUGAGUCUCGUGCUUUGGGUUAGUGGUUUGGAUUCUGACUUGCUGGAUCUUCUUAGGUCCGGUAGACUCUGUGCGUACCCAGCGUUCCGACGCGACAGUGACAGGUGGGUACUUCGAUCCGACGUCGGUACAGUGGUGCACGCUUGGUGAUGGUUUCUUACCCUUACUCUUCUGUUGUUACUAUCGCAUAAUAUAUUGAGCCUUGCACCCUUGUUUAUUCGUUAUACUCUACUCGUUGUUUGCAUACUUAGUAUCCUGAGUAGGAGUAGAGUAGUUCUAUCUUCAUGCGUAUCUGUUGACCUAGUUGGUCGGUUGUUGCAUUCAGUACCUGUUGACCUAGUUGGUCUGUUGUUGCGUUUAGUAUCUGUUGACCUAGUUGGUCGGUUAUUGCAUUCCGUAUCUGUUGACCUGGUUGGUCGGUUCUCGUACUUCGUUUCGGUGACCUGAUUGGUCGGUUCUCGUACAUCGUUCGAUGGCCCUUGAGGUCGGUAUACCCUAAGGGGUGGGAUUGUCGGUUAGCACCGACGGAUGAUUAUAGUUUACACAGUUCCACUAUUUGGCAUAUUUGUGACCUAGUCAGUCAGCUUCGUGAGUCCGGUCGUUUGAUGACCUAUGAGGUCGGUGUACCCUGAGGGGUUGGAUUGUCGGCUAGUGGCCGACGGUAAUUCGGGAUUCUAUUGAUAUACUCUGGUGACCUAUUCGUCAGUUCGUCAUGCAUAUGUGUUAGUUGACUUUAGUAGUCAGUGCUUGUAUACCUUGGUAGGAUGUUGAGUUGUUCCCUCUUAGUUGACCUGAGUAGUCGUUUCUUGUGCUUCUAUAUAGUUUGAUGACCUAUUGGUCGGUUUGCCCUGAGGGGCGGUGAUUGUCGGCUGGUUGCCGACAUUUGGCUAUUGAUCAUAUCCGCAUUGAUCGCCACAGCUCGAGUGCAUUUCACGUACACCAGCGGGUUGAUCCCCCGCAGGAGGGUGUUCUUUUCCGGAAAAGUGGUCGUACAUCCGACCCGUGAGCCCAGCGGUGUUCUUUUUGUGCUAGGGUUACAUGCCAGGUGCGAGCAGGUAGUGGCUUUUGCCUGAGGUCCUUAGACCGACACGGCGGUUUAGAUUGGGUACUUUUGGACUACUUGUCCGGUUGACGCAUAUAACUAUAGUAGCAGUGGUCACUUGUAUAUCUUCAGUUCUUUCGUUACAUUGUCUUGCUACUAUAGUCUUGUUACAUGUAUACAUUCAGUUGUUCAUUACAGUAGCGGUAGUUGUACUUUCUUUCAUAUAUAUGUCUCUUUCAUUCAUUAUUAUUGCUACUGUAUUUUCUACUGACCCGUACUGUUGUUUAGCUCUUCCUGAUCCGGUGAGUACUCCUCGCCUUCAUCGGCUUGCGGUACCCACUGGGAGGGGAGACAUGUUUACAUGUUCUCACCUCCCCCACUAUUUUUCAGGUAUUGCAGGCGUUGAGUUUUGGGACGAGACGUGAGGUACGUUCGUAGCGGUCGAUAGAGCUUCCGACCCAGGUUAUCGAUUUAGUUUUUAUCCUUACUAUUCUGUUGUUAUAGCUUAGUUAGUUUAUAUGGUUCAGUUAGAUGAUCAUACUUGAUGUUUGAAUGUUGUGAGCUGGUUGAAUUUGUGGAUUUGUGGAAUUGUGGAUUUGGUUUAUGGAUCUUCAGUUUUGGGAUGUUUGUAUACUUUGUGGUUCUCGGAUUUGUAUUUAUGGAUUUACGCAUCGUGGUUUUCUACCCCUCGAGGUAGUCGGUUUUCAAAAUAGAGUUUCCGUGUGGGAAACAGUUUUCAAAAGAUUUUCAAAUGGUUUUUCAUGAUGAAUGAAUUAGAGUUCAAAAAUAAAAGCUUCUGUGUGGGGAGCACUUUUAAAUAGGAUGGUUGUUGUAUUGUGCAUUGCAUCAUCCAGCGCCUAAGGAGUGCUUAGAGGCAUGCAUCAUUCUAAGGAUUGUUAGCUGUAUGGAAAUGCAUAUCAUGCUUUGGUUGUUGAUUGGUAAAUGUAGGUUGUGGUUGUGAUCCUGUUGUAUCCGUUGGUACGCCGUGCAGAUAUAAAGGAGACUCUGCCCGAAUGGACAGAGGAACUUUAUAUUUGUGGCGGGUCUGUACGUCACGUGGGCCAGGUUUUUCAAAAAAAAAAAAAAAUUUGGUACAUCUUCCGCGACUCUGAGUUUUAAAAAUGGUAAUGGCUUUUAAAUCGGCCCCGGGGCGUGACA